Molecule: ribosomal RNA, 484 nt
Filed under: uncultured bacterium
Lineage: Bacteria
Description: partial 16S ribosomal RNA
Rfam family: Bacterial small subunit ribosomal RNA
Source: RNAcentral
GAUGAACGCUGGCGGCGUGCUUAACACAUGCAAGUCGAACGAUGAAGGGGGAGCUUGCUCCUCUGGAUUAGUGGCGAACGGGUGAGUAACACGUGAGCAAUCUGCCCCUGACUCGGGGAUAAGCGUUGGAAACGACGUCUAAUACCGGAUACGAGCCGAGCAGGCAUCUGCAUCGGUUGGAAAGAACUUCGGUCAGGGAUGAGCUCGCGGCCUAUCAGCUAGUUGGUGAGGUAAUGGCUCACCAAGGCGACGACGGGUAGCCGGCCUGAGAGGGUGACCGGCCACACUGGGACUGAGACACGGCCCAGACUCCUACGGGAGGCAGCAGUGGGGAACAUUGCACAAUGGGCGCAAGCCUGAUGCAGCAACGCCGCGUGAGGGACGACGGCCUUCGGGUUGUAAACCUCUUUUAGCAGGGAAGAAGCGAGAGUGACGGUACCUGCAGAAAAAGCACCGGCUAACUACGUGCCAGCCGCCGCGGUAA